This 229-nucleotide ribosomal RNA is filed under the name uncultured bacterium. RNAcentral describes it as "partial 16S ribosomal RNA". It matches the Rfam family "Bacterial small subunit ribosomal RNA", at positions 568 to 796 of the family's 1533-position model. The record is from RNAcentral.
UCCGUAGGCGGGCAAUUAAGUCAGAGGUGAAACCCCACAGCUCAACUGUGGAACUGCCUUUGAUACUGGUUGUCUUGAGUUACAGUGAAGUAGAUAGAAUAUGUAGUGUAGCGGUGAAAUGCAUAGAUAUUACAUAGAAUACCGAUUGCGAAGGCAGUCUACUAACUGUAUACUGACGCUAAUGGACGAAAGCGUGGGGAGCGAACAGGAUUAGAUACCCUGGUAGUCC